This 387-nucleotide ribosomal RNA is filed under the name uncultured soil bacterium. RNAcentral's name for it is "bacterial SSU rRNA". It matches the Rfam family "Bacterial small subunit ribosomal RNA", at positions 26 to 408 of the family's 1533-position model. The record is from RNAcentral.
AGAUUGAACGCUGGCGGCAGGCCUAACACAUGCAAGUCGAGCGGCAGCACGGGUACUUGUACCUGGUGGCGAGCGGCGGACGGGUGAGUAAUGCCUAGGAAUCUGCCUGGUAGUGGGGGAUAACGCUCGGAAACGGACGCUAAUACCGCAUACGUCCUACGGGAGAAAGCAGGGGACCUUCGGGCCUUGCGCUAUCAGAUGAGCCUAGGUCGGAUUAGCUAGUUGGUGAGUAAUGGCUCACCAAGGCGACGAUCCGUAACUGGUCUGAGAGGAUGAUCAGUCACGACUGGAACUGAGACACGGUCCAGACUCUACGGGAGCAGCAGGUGGGAAUAGUUGGAACUAAGUGGGACGAAAGCCUAGAUCCACGCCAAGUCGCCGGCGUGU